Molecule: long non-coding RNA, 1236 nt
Filed under: Piliocolobus tephrosceles (Ugandan red Colobus)
Lineage: Eukaryota; Metazoa; Chordata; Mammalia; Primates; Cercopithecidae
Description: lncRNA (ENSPTEG00000000048.1)
Source: RNAcentral
UACAGAUGGAAACCUGGCUGGGGCUGGGGCUGGCAAGGGAGCCCCUCUCCUAGCCUCGUCCAUGGGGACUGUGGCUCCACGGGCCCCAUCCUGCUCAGCCUCCCAUUCCUGCAGCACCUCCUCCAGAUUGAAGUAGUGCCGGUAGCUCACAAAGAAGGUCUUCACCUGGGUGAGAGUCUUGUUCCCGAUCACCUCUGCAAUAGUCCCAAAGUCUGUGCCAUACCUACAGAUGGCUUGGGCAGCCAAAAGCUGCUCCUCUGUGGUCCAGCAGAAGUUGAACUUGGUGUUGGCCUCCAGGGGGCGGAGUGGACCAAUGCCGCCCUCCAGGGCUUGGCACAGGCUGCUGUUCCUCUGCUUUAUGCUCUGUACCUCUCUCUUGAGGUCUCCACCAUCGGGCGGUCUCUCUCUCAGGCCUCCUCGACCCUCUUUGAACUCAUCACUGUCUUCUUUGUCCUUACAGCCCCUCAGCCGCCGGGCCUGUCCGUCCAUCAUGCCAGUUCGGCUGUGGGUUUUCUUCCAAGAGUAGUGAUAUUUCACCCAGGCUGGAAAUCAACUUGUCGGGCAGCAUCUGCUGGAUCCACACUUGUCGUGGAAGCCAAAGUCCUGUUCAAACAACACCUUGUCCUCUACUGUCCACUCGUCAGGGAACGGGGUGAAGUUGGCCAGGUCGGCCAGUGACUUCUCCACAUGGUGCUUAUGCCACAAGAGCAUGCCCAGCACCUGCUCAAUGUUGUAGCUGUGCUUCUCCGUGGCCAUCGCAAUGUACUUGUCAGGCUUGGCAUCCGACACACAGCGGUUGGGUGACCACACCAGCAUCCCCUUCAGCUUCUUGUUGCUGUAGCAUGUGAGGCUCUCAGGCUUGCUCUCUGGAAUUACAGCCUGGUAAUUGGUUCCAAUGCGGAUCAUGCUGUCGUGUGAGUGCUCCUCCUCUCUGCUGUCAUCCUCAGAGUGGGGCUAGAUGCUGUCAUCCUCAGAGUGGGGCUAUCUGCCGUUGGGCACCGUGUUGGCCCGGCUGUGGGAUUCAUACUCGGCUUCUCCAUCAUGGAGGGCAUUACCCCUCUCAACUGCCCCAGGGGGCGCGGCAGCCUUCGAGAGUGACAGUGGUUGCCGCACUUGCCCUGAGUGCCAUGCCCGGCCUGGCCUGGAGAGGUCCCCACGUGCUAUCUUCCAUCUUGCCCCUGCCCCCAAGAUGCUACUUUUCUAGAGGAUACUUUAUUUUUACCCCACUAUGACUUC